This is a long non-coding RNA of Mytilus trossulus (common blue mussel), 815 nucleotides long. RefSeq lists it as uncharacterized. The record is from RefSeq and is a predicted model, not a curated record. The transcript has 2 exons. Lineage: Eukaryota; Metazoa; Mollusca; Bivalvia; Mytilida; Mytilidae.
AACGAUUUCUAAUGACUACCACAUGACUCUGUAAUAGUUGUCAUCAGUAUUUGCUUGUUUAUUUUCAGAUGAGUGAGUAAUAGUUGAUCAAUUUCCCCCACAUACUGAAAAUGACCGAAAACCUGCGUUGAGCAUAGGGCUAAACUUUGGAUUUUAGCUGCACUAUAAUACUAUUAUCCUUAUGAGCAUUUUUGAUAGGUGUCAUGCUGGAUUGGUCUCCGGUGAUUUUAUGUUCAACUUUUCAGUACAGAUAUCAGCGUCUAUAUUUCGAUUGUUUUGACAUUUUUUAGUUCUUCUUUUUCAAGAAAUCUCAUAUUCCUUUGUUUUUUUCAACCUGUGGUUGUUUAAACUACUCUUGUUAUUUAAACAUUUAUUGUUCAAUGUAUUUAAGACAAAAUACAUAGUAUUGAUUAUAUCAGCUAGAUCGUACACUAGAAAAAAAAAAGGAAGAUACCAAACGGACAUUCAAAAACCAUAACUCUAUACACAAAACACCAUGGCAAAGCACAACACCAGGAAUUUUCCAAUUCCUCAAGAAGGUUCAGAACCUUCUGCUCAACAACGUAGUUUUACUCUUUUUCCAGAGAACGUAUUUACUACUUAAAGAUUUUUUUUUUAUUUAUUAUUUUCAGAACUGAAAAAGAUAAAGGGGUCGAGGAAAAAGCAGACCAUAAGUGUACCAGAAGGUGUCGAAGGGGUUGUGACAAGAGCUGAAAAAUUGAACUUAACAACUAUUGUUUAGAUAAUUUGUUUAUGUUGAAGAUUUUCAUAGGAUAUAUUUAUCAAAGAAAUUAAACAAUGAUACCAGGCUUUUA